CUUGUCCUCAGGGGCCGGCGGGAAGGACUGCACGUUGGCCACAAACAGGUCCUUGCGAAAAGUCAGGCCCAGGACGUCCAGGUCCUCCCGGCCAUAGCGGAAGGCGCAGGUACUCAGGAUCCACCAGGACCACACCAUCUGCGAGAGCACAGAGAGUGACCCUCCCAACCCCUGAGCCCCAAAUGCCACCCCACACCCAACGCUCCAUCCACCCAAACACACCAUGAGAGAAAUGGGAAGGCCAACCCCGAGGGCGGCGCCCCCAGCCCCACCAAGCCCUCCCCUCCUCUCCCCCAGCUGCCAGCUAACGUGUACACUGAGAGGCAGCAGAGGAUGGCUCAAGUGCUUGGCUCCCUGCCACCCUAGUGCAAGAUCUGGAUGGAGUUCCUGGCUCCCGGUUUUGGCCUGGCCCAGCCCUGGCUGUGGUCGUCCUUUGGGGAGUGAACCAGUGGAUGGAAGAUCUCUGUCUAUCACUCUCUCUCUGUCAUUCUGCAUUUCAAAUAAAUAAAUCUUCAAUAAA
This is a long non-coding RNA of Lepus europaeus (European hare), 520 nucleotides long. RefSeq lists it as uncharacterized. Lineage: Eukaryota; Metazoa; Chordata; Mammalia; Lagomorpha; Leporidae. The transcript has 3 exons. The record is from RefSeq and is a predicted model, not a curated record.